AGGACGAACGCUGGCGGCGUGCUUAACACAUGCAAGUCGAACGGAAAGGUCUCUUCGGAGAUACUCGAGUGGCGAACGGGUGAGUAACACGUGGGUGAUCUGCCCUGCACUUCGGGAUAAGCCUGGGAAACUGGGUCUAAUACCGAAUAUGACCACGGGAUGCAUGUCCUGUGGUGGAAAGCUUUUGCGGUGUGGGAUGGGCCCGCGGCCUAUCAGCUAGUUGGUGGGGUCACGGCCUACCAAGGCUACGACGGGUAGCCGGCCUGAGAGGGUGUCCGGGCCACGACUGGGACUGAGAUACGGCCCAGACUCCUACGGGAGGCAGCAGUGGGGGAAUAUUGCACAAUGGGCGCAAGCCUGAUGCAGCGACGCCGCGUGGGGGAUGACGGCCUUCGGGUUGUAAACCUCUUUCAGCAGGGACGAAGCGAAGUGACGGUACCUGCAGAAGAAGCACCGGCCAACUACGUGCCAGCAGCCGC
Molecule: ribosomal RNA, 479 nt
Filed under: uncultured bacterium
Lineage: Bacteria
Description: SSU rRNA
Rfam family: Bacterial small subunit ribosomal RNA
Source: RNAcentral